CCUAACACAUGCAAGUCGAACGGUAACAGGAAGCAGCUUGCUGCUUCGCUGACGAGUGGCGGACGGGUGAGUAAUGUCUGGGAAGCUGCCUGAUGGAGGGGGAUAACUACUGGAAACGGUAGCUAAUACCGCAUAAUGUCGCAAGACCAAAGAGGGGGACCUUCGGGCCUCUUGCCAUCGGAUGUGCCCAGAUGGGAUUAGCUUGUUGGUGGGGUAACGGCUCACCAAGGCGACGAUCCCUAGCUGGUCUGAGAGGAUGACCAGCCACACUGGAACUGAGACACGGUCCAGACUCCUACGGGAGGCAGCAGUGGGGAAUAUUGCAC
RNAcentral lists this ribosomal RNA (326 nucleotides) under uncultured bacterium. Its description in RNAcentral is "bacterial SSU rRNA". It matches the Rfam family "Bacterial small subunit ribosomal RNA", at positions 47 to 369 of the family's 1533-position model. The record is from RNAcentral.